This 377-nucleotide ribosomal RNA is filed under the name uncultured eukaryote. RNAcentral's name for it is "partial 18S ribosomal RNA". It matches the Rfam family "Eukaryotic small subunit ribosomal RNA", at positions 592 to 976 of the family's 1831-position model. The record is from RNAcentral.
CAAUAGCGUAUAUUUAAGUUGCUGCAGUUAAAAAGCUCGUAGUUGGAUUUCGGGUGGGAAUGGCCGGUCCGCCGUUUCGGUGUGCACUUGCUACGCCCACCUUGCUGCCGGGGACGUGCUCUUGAGUUCACGCUCGGGACACGGAGUCGGCGAGGUUACUUUGAGUAAAUUAGAGUGUUCAAAGCAGGCCUACGCUCUGAAUACAUUAGCAUGGAAUAACACGAUAGGACUCUGGCCUAUCUUGUUGGUCUGUAGGACCGGAGUAAUGAUUAAGAGGGACAGUCGGGGGCAUUCGUAUUUCAUUGUCAGAGGUGAAAUUCUUGGAUUUAUGAAAGACGAACUACUGCGAAAGCAUUUGCCAAGGAUGCAUUUUCUAA